This 74-nucleotide transfer RNA is filed under the name Acetobacter oeni. It matches the Rfam family "tRNA". From Rfam's summary of the family: Transfer RNA (tRNA) molecules are approximately 80 nucleotides in length. Their secondary structure includes four short double-helical elements and three loops (D, anti-codon, and T loops). Lineage: Bacteria; Pseudomonadati; Pseudomonadota; Alphaproteobacteria; Acetobacterales; Acetobacteraceae. The record is from Rfam by way of RNAcentral. RNAcentral also lists the same sequence under 1 other name.
GGACCCGUAGCUCAGCUGGAUAGAGCGUCGCCCUCCGAAGGCGAAGGUCACGCGUUCGAAUCGCGUCGGGUCCG